This 76-nucleotide transfer RNA is filed under the name bacterium. Its description in RNAcentral is "tRNA-Phe". It matches the Rfam family "tRNA". Rfam says of the family: Transfer RNA (tRNA) molecules are approximately 80 nucleotides in length. Their secondary structure includes four short double-helical elements and three loops (D, anti-codon, and T loops). The record is from RNAcentral.
GGCGCUUUAGCUCAGUCGGUAGAGCAACGGACUGAAAAUCCGUGUGUCCCCAGUUCGAUUCUGGGAGGCGCCACUA